Parasteatoda tepidariorum (common house spider) is the source of this 1023-nucleotide non-coding RNA. Lineage: Eukaryota; Metazoa; Arthropoda; Arachnida; Araneae; Theridiidae. The record is from RefSeq and is a predicted model, not a curated record.
UAUUGGAAAGAAAGCAAAAUGGAGGAACGUUUUCUUGAAGCACUCCAAAAACUUGAUACUGCUGUUUCACAAAGAAAAAUAACUUACAUGUUCAACAAGAAGUAUAACUUGCUUGAGAAAUUGAAUGAACAACAAGCUACCAAUAUUCACAAUCGCUUAGCAUUUUUUAUUAGAAACAUUAAAGAUGAUCCAAAACGACUCUGGAGUUUUUUCAAAGAAAAACCUGCCUUCUUAAAUUCUUGACUAUAUGGAAAAUCCAAGUUAUAGGACUGCAUUUUGCACAUGCCAAAGAAACAACACUGACUCUUAUUGAAUUUUAUACUAGUUAAAUUAAAAACUCAAUGCUGCUUGUAAUUAAAGAGCACCUUGUAUAUUUGAAAUUCUGAUUAAUAAUUAUGUGUAAAAUAAAUAUGUUCAUGUAUCCACAUUUUCUUAAAAAUAAUUGAUUUUAUAUUCUAUUAUUUUUAGUUUAUAAGUACAGAAAACUAUGUGUAUAAUUUGUGUGUGUGUAUUUUUUUUACUUAUGUGUGUGUAUUUUUUUUAAAGUUAUAAUACUUAGUAUUAUUUUUUAUUAUUCCAUGAUUUGUAAUGAUUUUUUAAACUACGAUUUUUGGAAAUUUUUUAUUCCUUGAAAUAUUUUUUACCAUUUUAUAUUCACUUGUAUAUUUUUAAUGUUUUGUUGUGUUUGAAAUUUUGUCUUUAUUUUCUUCUGAAGUAUGUCAGUAUUAUAUGAUUGUUUCAUCUUAAAUAAUAUUAGUCAGAAGGGACAAAUAAUAAUACAAUAUUAAGUAUAUUCUAUUAUUUUUUGUCCUAACUUAUAAAACUUUUUUUUUACUAUUUUUUCUAAAGUUUUAAAAUUUGUCAGUAUUACGUAUAUGAAGAUAUUGUUUAAAAAAUUUUCAAAUUAUUUUAAUAAAUUUGUUAUAUGUAUUGCGUCAUUGCUUGAACUAUUUCUCAUCUUUGUUUUUUGUAAAAUAUUUUAUGUAAGAAUGACAAAAAUACUUAUUAAAACUUUGUAAUUCA